RNAcentral lists this small nuclear RNA (152 nucleotides) under Taphrina deformans PYCC 5710. Lineage: Eukaryota; Fungi; Ascomycota; Taphrinomycetes; Taphrinales; Taphrinaceae. The record is from RNAcentral.
GUCCCUUCGGGGACAAUUGGUCAAAGAAACGAUACAGAGAAGAUUAGCAUGUAAGCCGCUCCCGUGCGCGCGUUCGAAACACUUUGGCUGACCCACCCUAGGGCCCCUGCACAAGGAUGACACUGCGAUACAAAGAGAGAAAAACCAUUUUU